AAAGGUUUAAAGACUGAUAUCCUUGACAUGCUUGCAGGCAGUAUGUCGAAGAUUACUGCUUAUCCUGAGAGGGACCACUACGAGAGUGUACCCAAAGCACUGGUGGAAAAGCAUCUCUGUCUGCCAGAGCCAGGGUCUGAAAAGGGAUGGUAUUCAUGGUUUCACAGCCUGAAAUUUAAGCUUGGAAACUACCGACAAAAGUUGAGUGCAGCAGGAUGCCCUGAAGUGGUCAUAAACAAACGAAAAGGAAGAGGCUCGAAGGGAAAAUGUGUCAAGAAGUCCAAGAAGGGUGAGGUGAAUUACUGUCCUGAUCCACCUGAAGGACAAUGUCCUGAAAACAUGGAGGAGAAACGCCAGAUAAUGGAGGCUGAAAUGCAAAAAUGAGAUCCUGAUCACCAGCUGUUGGAGAAUCUGAUGGUUGCCAUGUUUUCUCAGCGCAGAAUAGAGAUCAUUGGAGAUCAGCCACUCAUCACUGAAGUAAUUUCCCGAUGGCCAGCUCUGUUCCACGAGAGACAGAUUAUGUCAGAAUUCAAGAGGACUGUCACCGUAGACCUCCUGGAAUCUUUUCUUUGAGGACUUGAUGGUCUGGUCCCAAGACUGCUGGAAGUGUAUAACGCAGCAACCAAGAACCUAGAAAGAAACAGUCACUAAAAGACAUUUUGGACUGCCUUGUGAGAGAUGACACAAAUAAGAGAAGAAGGGCUGCUGCUCUGCUUGGUCUGCCAUACUACAUAUCAGGCGAAGAUCCAUCAAAUGUCAUCAGGAUGUGUGAU
Molecule: long non-coding RNA, 773 nt
Organism: Epinephelus fuscoguttatus (brown-marbled grouper)
Lineage: Eukaryota; Metazoa; Chordata; Actinopteri; Perciformes; Serranidae
Exons: 3
Source: RefSeq, a predicted model, not a curated record